This is a long non-coding RNA of Leopardus geoffroyi (Geoffroy's cat), 760 nucleotides long. RefSeq lists it as uncharacterized. The transcript has 3 exons. Lineage: Eukaryota; Metazoa; Chordata; Mammalia; Carnivora; Felidae. The record is from RefSeq and is a predicted model, not a curated record.
AAUGUUGCUUUGUUUUUUUUUCCCUCCUCUCUUCUGCUUUGCAUUUUUCUUCUCUACCAGCCAUUUGGCUAACUCCACCAAGUCAAAAGUGCAACUUCUUUUUAAAGAGCUAUUAGGGUGCAGUUUGCCGUGAUUUCUGAGCUGGAGCGCCUCAGCUGGGACAGUGAGAUCUACCGUGGAGAAUCUGCAUCCAUUCCUGACGUCUGGAGCCUCACUAGGGCCAGAACAGACAUAUGGUACCUUAAACUUACAUCAAACUCUGCUUCAGAUGGGAAGCCGCAUUCUGGUCUUGCCUGAUCAUUGAUAAGGGCCUGCGCAGAGACCUGGACCAGCUCAAAAGGUUGAUAACUGACUUAAUAUAAGCACAAGAAUAACUACGCAUUUAUGUAAAGUCUUUCUCAAAGGAGCAUUCAGCACUCUGCAGAUAAUGGACUUAUUUAUCCUUAGAGCACUUCUCUGAGGCAGUUAAAGGACAGGGGUGACCAGACUCAUGUAAUAAAUAAUGUCAAGGACAGCAUGAGGCAAAACUAGCCUAUACGUCUGAGGCCUUGGGGGAGAUGGGAUGGGCCCAAGGUCACCCAGGGAGUUGGGAACAGGAUGAGUGUCCAUGCUCCAAUGAGGUGACUCAUUCUUUCCAGCACCUCUGCUCCUGGGACCUGACUACAUGUCCCCCGGGCUGGCUCCUGCUUACACACACAUAUCCCAAGGCAUAUUCUAUGGGAUAUCAGAGGUGCUCUUAUCAGUGCAUGGCUUAGUAAGC